AUCUAGCUGACGAGUCCUAAAAUGGGACGAAAGGCGUGUCCUGGAU
RNAcentral lists this non-coding RNA (46 nucleotides) under Schistosoma curassoni. The record is from RNAcentral. Lineage: Eukaryota; Metazoa; Platyhelminthes; Trematoda; Strigeidida; Schistosomatidae.